This is a long non-coding RNA of Sinocyclocheilus grahami, 1818 nucleotides long. The record is from Ensembl. Lineage: Eukaryota; Metazoa; Chordata; Actinopteri; Cypriniformes; Cyprinidae.
AUCCUCUUUGGCUGUUUGCACCAAGUCUUUUAUACAGCUGGGAAUGAGGAGGCCUCCUUUUACUGUGGCUUUAGAGAAAAAUGGGCAAAAGGAAAGGAGGAUGGUUGACACAAAGUGCUAAUUAGCACAGAGGAACCAGUUCAGUCCAAAUGGUGGAACAUGAUGAACGUGGCAGUUUCUGGCAUCAUACAAAAACUCUUCUGGAUAUUCCUUAUGGCUAGUUCCAAGCUGUAAAUUGAAACAUGGAUGAUCAACCCAUGAUGACUUUAGAAGGACAGAAGUCAUCAGCUUUGCAAGAGACCCCAAAAAUGACUUUCUCAGUAGAGCUUUCAAUGGCAGACUCAACCAUGGAUAGAAACCUGACCUUAAAAGAUACUUCUGAUUCACUACCGUCUGUUAUAGAUGAGCCUUUGGAAGACCAAACACAACUUGAGUUGAAGAAUAAAAGUUCAUUAGAGAAGAUCAAUCAAAUUGUACCACUGCUUGUCAACAAAGGUGGACCUUGUCUUCAAAUCUUGAAUCUUCUCACAAAAGAAAGGACAAAGAAAUACAUUGAACAUCAAAGCACUUCUGCUCCAAUAUCAACCCCAAAAUCUGAACUAAAUGGCAUUUAUUGUGAACCUGACUUCCAAAUGGAUGCUGAGACUGGGUUCAGCUAUUUUUUGACUCGCUCAGAUAGUCCAGUGAUCAACAGCUGUGAUGUAGACUCCUCAAACACCUCAUCUACUACUUAUCCUUUUUCUAAUUUUACGGUCAGACCCAUAUCAGAACCCGCUUACUCUUUUGCAUCCUCUCCAGUGGGACCAUCUCACAUUGAGCACCCUUACUCGGCUCCUUUGCCAGUCUCCAAGGGGGCUGAUCUACCCCGAAUCAUCAAACACAAGCCCAGCUCCAUUACCUUUGCAGAUUAUGACAGUUUUUUGGGUCUGAUCAAGAAUGCCCAAGCCAAUGAAGGUUCAGAUGCUUGUGAGGCCUCUUCUGAAGAUGAAGGCCGUGAUGUGGUCUUCCAUGAUGAUAGCGAUGAUGUGUUUCCCAAGUGCAAAGAAUUUUUCCAAAGCUCCAGACAAAACGGGGAAGGAUUGAAGAAACAAAGGAGUAAAGGAACCUGUAGACAAGCACAUGGAGAAAGAAGUUCCAGCACCAAUCUGCCACCCAACAGAAGCAGCAGCUAUGAGGCAGAGGAGGAGAGCAGCAGUACAGAGGAGUCUCCUCAGGUCCUGUCUCCCUGGUCUGAAUCUAUAACCCAGCUAAUGAAGAGAUUAGAUCAGCUCAAUCUGUACAUAGAGGAAGCUCUCAGCGCUGGCUCUUCCCCUUCCCACACACCCAACACCACCCGGAGACACACCACUAAUGACAGAGCAUCCCUGCAGAGUGGAGCUGUAGGGGUGAACCAGUCCCUCAACUUGAACAACAUGGCUAGAAGAAACGACACAAGGGAACGGCAUGGCCAAGAGAGACAUGCGGGAGCCACUUCCUCUCAGGGGAGAUCACAUGGUAAAAAGACAGAGAUGUCCAUCAAGAAGAGGCAUGGAGGCGCAGGUGAGUUCUCAUUUUCCUUUAUGUAUCAAACUGGGCUGGCAAUAAGACAUGUUUGGAUGUAAUAGGCACAGUAAUGUUUUUUGGUGCAUUUAUCAGACUGGGUAAAUGCGUUUGACAUUUGAGGUGUAAAAGAACCUCUUGUCAUGCAGUUUCUGAAAGUUAUAGGCCUAUAUAAACUUGUAUCCCCUACAUUAAGAUAUCCUACAUAUUUUUUUCUAAUCAGUUAAGAGAUGUUCACUAAUUAGACCAGUUUAUUGUUGAGCUCUUUAAUACUUGGAC